Molecule: ribosomal RNA, 497 nt
Filed under: uncultured bacterium
Lineage: Bacteria
Description: partial 16S ribosomal RNA
Rfam family: Bacterial small subunit ribosomal RNA
Source: RNAcentral
GAUGAACGCUGGCGGCGUGCCUAAUACAUGCAAGUCGAGCGAACAGAUAAGGAGCUUGCUCCUCUGACGUUAGCGGCGGACGGGUGAGUUACACGUGGAUAACCUACCUAUAAGACUGGGAUAACUUCGGGAAACCGGAGCUAAUACCGGAUAACAUAUUGAACCGCAUGGUUCAAUAGUGAAAGGCGGCUUUGCUGUCACUUAUAGAUGGAUCCGCGCCGUAUUAGCUAGUUGGUAAGGUAACGGCUUACCAAGGCAACGAUACGUAGCCGACCUGAGAGGGUGAUCGGCCACACUGGAACUGAGACACGGUCCAGACUCCUACGGGAGGCAGCAGUAGGGAAUCUUCCGCAAUGGGCGAAAGCCUGACGGAGCAACGCCGCGUGAGUGAUGAAGGUCUUCGGAUCGUAAAACUCUGUUAUCAGGGAAGAACAAAUGUGUAAGUAACUGUGCACAUCUUGACGGUACCUGAUCAGAAAGCCACGGCUAACUACGUG